RNAcentral lists this ribosomal RNA (521 nucleotides) under uncultured bacterium. RNAcentral's name for it is "bacterial SSU rRNA". It matches the Rfam family "Archaeal small subunit ribosomal RNA", at positions 345 to 866 of the family's 1478-position model. The record is from RNAcentral.
AACCUCCGCAAUGUGAGAAAUCGCGACGGGGGGAUCCCAAGUGCCAUUCUUAACGGGAUGGCUUUUCAUUAGUGUAAAGAGCUUUUGGAAUAAGGGCUGGGCAAGACCGGUGCCAGCCGCCGCGGUAACACCGGCAGCUCUAGUGGUAGCAGUUUUUAUUGGGCCUAAAGCGUCCGUAGCCGGUUUAAUAAGUCUCUGGUGAAAUCCUGUAGCUUAACUGUGGGAAUUGCUGGAGAUACUAUUAGACUUGAGACCGGGAGAGGUUAGAGGUACUCCCAGGGUAGAGGUGAAAUUCUGUAAUCCUGGGAGGACCGCCUGUUGCGAAGGCGUCUAACUGGAACGGUUCUGACGGUGAGGGACGAAAGUUAGGGGCGCGAACCGGAUUAGAUACCCGGGUAGUCCUAACUGUAAACGAUGCGGACUUGGUGUUGGGGUGGCUUUGAGCUGCUCCAGUGCCGAAGGGAAGCUGUUAAGUCCGCCGCCUGGGAAGUACGAUCGCAAGACUGAAACUUAAAGGAAUU